UACGUAGGGGGCAAGCGUUGUCCGGAAUCAUUGGGCGUAAAGCGCGUGUAGGCGGCUCGAUAAGUCUGCUGUGAAAGUCCAGGGCUCAACCCUGGGAUGCCGGUGGAUACUGUCGAGCUCGAGUCCGGAAGAGGCGAGUGGAAUUCCCAGUGUAGCGGUGAAAUGCGUAGAUAUUGGGAGGAACACCAGUGGCGAAGGCGGCUCACUGGACCGGAACUGACGCUGAGGCGCGAAAGCGUGGGGAGCAAACGGG
This 253-nucleotide ribosomal RNA is filed under the name uncultured bacterium. Its description in RNAcentral is "partial 16S ribosomal RNA". It matches the Rfam family "Bacterial small subunit ribosomal RNA", at positions 524 to 776 of the family's 1533-position model. The record is from RNAcentral.